This 105-nucleotide transfer RNA is filed under the name Promethearchaeota archaeon. RNAcentral's name for it is "Candidatus Lokiarchaeota archaeon (permafrost metagenome) tRNA-Phe". It matches the Rfam family "tRNA". From Rfam's summary of the family: Transfer RNA (tRNA) molecules are approximately 80 nucleotides in length. Lineage: Archaea; Promethearchaeati; Promethearchaeota. The record is from RNAcentral.
GCCAAGGUGGCGUAGCCCGGGAACGCACUAGACUGAAGAUCUAGGUAUCGGGGAAUUCGAUGUCGAUUCGCAUCGGAUCUGAAAGUUCAAAUCCCUCUCUUGGCA